GUUUCAACCCCUGAAAGGGUCUUAGUCAAGCUUGACAAAGCCCUUUUUAGGGGACAAAACAUUGCGGUGUCUCAUUUAUCCAAAUACAGGUAACAAGCUGAGAUAAGGAGUACUCAAUUAAGAGAGUGUUCCUAAUCUCAGCUCAUUACCUGUAUAAAAGACACCUGGGAGCCAGAAAUCUUGCCAAUUGAUAAGGGAUCAAAUACUUAUUUC
Molecule: non-coding RNA, 213 nt
Organism: Pelobates cultripes (western spadefoot toad)
Lineage: Eukaryota; Metazoa; Chordata; Amphibia; Anura; Pelobatidae
Source: the annotation of a GenBank genome assembly